Molecule: ribosomal RNA, 284 nt
Filed under: Fusicatenibacter saccharivorans
Lineage: Bacteria; Bacillati; Bacillota; Clostridia; Lachnospirales; Lachnospiraceae
Description: partial 16S ribosomal RNA
Rfam family: Bacterial small subunit ribosomal RNA
Source: RNAcentral
UCUUUUCAUUGUGUGCCAGCAGCCGCGGUAAUACGUAGGGGGCAAGCGUUAUCCGGAUUUACUGGGUGUAAAGGGAGCGUAGACGGCAAGGCAAGUCUGAUGUGAAAACCCAGGGCUUAACCCUGGGACUGCAUUGGAAACUGUCUGGCUCGAGUGCCGGAGAGGUAAGCGGAAUUCCUAGUGUAGCGGUGAAAUGCGUAGAUAUUAGGAAGAACACCAGUGGCGAAGGCGGCUUACUGGACGGUAACUGACGUUGAGGCUCGAAAGCGUGGGGAGCAAACAGG